RNAcentral lists this ribosomal RNA (529 nucleotides) under Pantoea sp. PM16. RNAcentral describes it as "partial 16S ribosomal RNA". It matches the Rfam family "Bacterial small subunit ribosomal RNA", at positions 69 to 590 of the family's 1533-position model. The record is from RNAcentral. Lineage: Bacteria; Pseudomonadati; Pseudomonadota; Gammaproteobacteria; Enterobacterales; Erwiniaceae.
CACAGAGGAGCUUGCUCUUGGGGUGAAGAGUGGAGGACAGGCGAGUGGGGGGGGGGAACCUGCCUGAGGGAGGGGGAUGGCUACUGGAAACGGUAGCUAAUACCUAAUAACGUCGCAAGACCAAAGUGGGGGACCUCCGGGCCUCACACCAUCGGAUGUGCCCAGAUGGGAUUAGCUUGUAGGCGGGGUAACGGCCCACCUAGGCGACGAUCCCUAGCUGGUCUGAGAGGAUGACCAGCCACACUGGAACUGAGACACGGUCCAGACUCCUACGGGAGGCAGCAGUGGGGAAUAUUGCACAAUGGGCGCAAGCCUGAUGCAGCCAUGCCGCGUGUAUGAAGAAGGCCUUCGGGUUGUAAAGUACUUUCAGCGGGGAGGAAGGUGUUGAGGUUAAUAACCUCAGCAUUUGACGUUACCCGCAAAAAAAGCAGCGGCUAACUCCGUGCCAGUAGCCGCGUUAAUACGGAGGGUGCACUCGUUAUUCGAAAUAACUGGGCGUAUUGCUCACCCAGGGCGGUCUGUUAACUCA